This 413-nucleotide unclassified non-coding RNA is filed under the name soil metagenome. RNAcentral's name for it is "partial contains 5.8S ribosomal RNA, internal transcribed spacer 2, and large subunit ribosomal RNA". The stretch from base 1 to 122 matches the Rfam family "5.8S ribosomal RNA", at positions 35 to 154 of the family's 154-position model. The record is from RNAcentral.
GAUGAAGAACGCAGCGAAAUGCGAUACUUGGUGUGAAUUGCAGAAUCCCGUGAACCAUCGAGUCUUUGAACGCAAGUUGCGCCCGAAGCCGUCAGGCCGAGGGCACGCCUGCCUGGGCGUCACACGCCGUUGCCCCCCCCGCGCCCCGCACCCAACUCUUUGGGAGCGACCGCGGGGCGGGCUGAUGAUGGCCUCCCGUGCGCUCCGCCGCGCGGUUGGCCCAAAUACCGAGUCCCCGGCGACGUGCGCCACGACGAUCGGUGGUUGAGAGACCUCUGUCGCAAGUCGUGCGCGCCCGUCGCGUCACGCGGGCUCGCAUAGCGCCUCGCGCCGCACCCGGUGCGGAGCUUUCAACGCGACCCCAGGUCAGGCGGGGUUACCCGCUGAAUUUAAGCAUAUCAAUAAGCGGAGGA